AGUGAACGCUGGCGGUAGGCCUAACACAUGCAAGUCGAACGGCAGCACAGUAAGAGCUUGCUCUUACGGGUGGCGAGUGGCGGACGGGUGAGGAAUACAUCGGAAUCUACUUUUUCGUGGGGGAUAACGUAGGGAAACUUACGCUAAUACCGCAUACGACCUACGGGUGAAAGCAGGGGAUCUUCGGACCUUGCGCGAUUGAAUGAGCCGAUGUCGGAUUAGCUAGUUGGCGGGGUAAAGGCCCACCAAGGCGACGACCCGUAGCUGGUCUGAGAGGAUGAUCAGCCACACUGGAACUGAGACACGGUCCAGACUCCUACGGGAGGCAGCAGUGGGGAAUAUUGGACAAUGGGCGCAAGCCUGAUCCAGCCAUACCGCGUGGGUGAAGAAGGCCUUCGGGUCGUAAAGCCCUUUUGUUGGGAAAGAAAAGCAGCAGGUUAAUACCCCGCUGUUCUGACGGUACCCAAAGAAUAAGCACCGGCUAACUUCGUG
Molecule: ribosomal RNA, 492 nt
Filed under: uncultured bacterium
Lineage: Bacteria
Description: partial 16S ribosomal RNA
Rfam family: Bacterial small subunit ribosomal RNA
Source: RNAcentral